GACGAACGCUGGCGGCGUGCCUAAUACAUGCAAGUCGAACGCUUCUUUCCUCCCGAGUGCUUGCACUCAAUUGGAAAGAGGAGUGGCGGACGGGUGAGUAACACGUGGGUAACCUACCCAUCAGAGGGGGAUAACACUUGGAAACAGGUGCUAAUACCGCAUAACAGUUUAUGCCGCAUGGCAUAAGAGUGAAAGGCGCUUUCGGGUGUCGCUGAUGGAUGGACCCGCGGUGCAUUAGCUAGUUGGUGAGGUAACGGCUCACCAAGGCCACGAUGCAUAGCCGACCUGAGAGGGUGAUCGGCCACACUGGGACUGAGACACGGCCCAGACUCCUACGGGAGGCAGCAGUAGGGAAUCUUCGACAAUGGACGAAAGUCUGACCGAGCAACGCCGCGUGAGUGAAGAAGGUUUUCGGAUCGUAAAACUCUGUUGUUAGAGAAGAACAAGGACGUUAGUAACUGAACGUCACCUGACGGUAUCUAACCAGAAAGGCACGGCUAACUACGUG
RNAcentral lists this ribosomal RNA (508 nucleotides) under uncultured bacterium. RNAcentral describes it as "partial 16S ribosomal RNA". It matches the Rfam family "Bacterial small subunit ribosomal RNA", at positions 28 to 507 of the family's 1533-position model. The record is from RNAcentral.